AUUGAACGCUGGCGGCAUGCCUAACACAUGCAAGUCGAACGGCAGCACGGGAGGAACCCUGGUGUCGUGUUGGCGACGGGCGGGUGAUUCAUCCGUACGUGCCCUACCGAUGGGGCUAGGGUAACGACGGUUACGCUAAUACCGUACACGAUCAUAGGAUGAACGCGAGGGACCAUCGGGUCUCGCGCGAUUGGCGGGCCCGAUGAGAGAUUAGCUAGUUGGAUGGGUAAGGGCCUACCAAGCCGACGAACUGUAGCUGGUCUGAGAGGACGACCGGCCACACUGGAACUGAGACACGGUCCAGACUCCUACGGGAGGCAGCAGUGGGGAAUUUUGGACAAUGGGCGCAAGCCUGAUCCAGCCAUACCGCGUGCGGGAUGAAGGCCUUCGGGUUGUAAACUUCUUUUGUUGGGAAAGAAAAGAUGCUGGCUAAUACCUGGGGAUCAUGACGGUACCGAAAGAAUAAGCACCGGCUAACUACGUG
RNAcentral lists this ribosomal RNA (484 nucleotides) under uncultured bacterium. RNAcentral's name for it is "partial 16S ribosomal RNA". It matches the Rfam family "Bacterial small subunit ribosomal RNA", at positions 30 to 507 of the family's 1533-position model. The record is from RNAcentral.